AGUGAACGCUGGCGGUAGGCCUAACACAUGCCAGUCGAACGGCAGCACAGUAAGAGCUUGCUCUUACGGGUGGCGAGUGGCGGACGGGUGAGGAAUACAUCGGAAUCUACUUUUUCGUGGGGGAUAACGUAGGGAAACUUACGCUAAUACCGCAUACGACCUACGGGUGAAAGCAGGGGAUCUUCGGACCUUGCGCGAUUGAAUGAGCCGAUGUCGGAUUAGCUAGCUGGCGGGGUAAAGGCCCACCAAGGCGACGAUCCGUAGCUGGUCUGAGAGGAUGAUCAGCCACACUGGAACUGAGACACGGUCCAGACUCCUACGGGAGGCAGCAGUGGGGAAUAUUGGACAAUGGGCGCAAGCCUGAUCCAGCCAUACCGCGUGGGUGAAGAAGGCCUUCGGGUUGUAAAGCCCUUUUGUUGGGAAAGAAAAGCAGCAGGUUAAUACCCCGCUGUUCUGACGGUACCCAAAGAAUAAGCACCGGCUAACUUCGUG
RNAcentral lists this ribosomal RNA (492 nucleotides) under uncultured bacterium. Its description in RNAcentral is "partial 16S ribosomal RNA". It matches the Rfam family "Bacterial small subunit ribosomal RNA", at positions 29 to 507 of the family's 1533-position model. The record is from RNAcentral.